AUUGAACGCUGGCGGCAGGCCUAACACAUGCAAGUCGAGCGGAUGAAGGGGGCUUGCUCCUGGAUUCAGCGGCGGACGGGUGAGUAAUGCCUAGGAAUCUGCCUGGUAGUGGGGGAUAACGUCCGGAAACGGGCGCUAAUACCGCAUACGUCCUGAGGGAGAAAGUGGGGGAUCUUCGGACCUCACGCUAUCAGAUGAGCCUAGGUCGGAUUAGCUAGUUGGUGGGGUAAAGGCCUACCAAGGCGACGAUCCGUAACUGGUCUGAGAGGAUGAUCAGUCACACUGGAACUGAGACACGGUCCAGACUCCUACGGGAGGCAGCAGUGGGGAAUAUUGGACAAUGGACGAAAGCCUGAUCCAGCCAUGCCGCGUGUGUGAAGAAGGUCUUCGGAUUGUAAAGCACUUUAAGUUGGGAGGAAGGGCAGUAAGUUAAUACCUUGCUGUUUUGACGUUACCAACAGAAUAAGCACCGGCUAACUUCGUG
RNAcentral lists this ribosomal RNA (484 nucleotides) under uncultured bacterium. RNAcentral's name for it is "partial 16S ribosomal RNA". It matches the Rfam family "Bacterial small subunit ribosomal RNA", at positions 30 to 507 of the family's 1533-position model. The record is from RNAcentral.